UCCACAGUACGUGCCUGCAGAAU
RNAcentral lists this non-coding RNA (23 nucleotides) under Cricetulus griseus (Chinese hamster). Lineage: Eukaryota; Metazoa; Chordata; Mammalia; Rodentia; Cricetidae. The record is from RNAcentral.